Molecule: ribosomal RNA, 495 nt
Filed under: uncultured bacterium
Lineage: Bacteria
Description: partial 16S ribosomal RNA
Rfam family: Bacterial small subunit ribosomal RNA
Source: RNAcentral
GAUGAACGCUGGCGGCGUGCCUAAUACAUGCAAGUCGAGCGAACAGACGAGGAGCUUGCUCCUCUGACGUUAGCGGCGGACGGGUGAGUAACACGUGGAUAACCUACCUAUAAGACUGGGAUAACUUCGGGAAACCGGAGCUAAUACCGGAUAAUAUAUUGAACCGCAUGGUUCAAUAGUGAAAGACGUUUUGCUGUCACUUAUAGAUGGAUCCGCGCCGCAUUAGCUAGUUGGUAAGGUAACGGCUUACCAAGGCGACGAUGCGUAGCCGACCUGAGAGGGUGAUCGGCCACACUGGAACUGAGACACGGUCCAGACUCCUACGGGAGGCAGCAGUAGGGAAUCUUCCGCAAUGGGCGAAAGCCUGACGGAGCAACGCCGCGUGAGUGAUGAAGGUCUUCGGAUCGUAAAACUCUGUUAUUAGGGAAGAACAAAUGUGUAAGUAACUAUGCACGUCUUGACGGGACCUAAUCAGAAAGCCACGGCUAACUACGU